Molecule: ribosomal RNA, 196 nt
Filed under: uncultured bacterium
Lineage: Bacteria
Description: partial 16S ribosomal RNA
Rfam family: Bacterial small subunit ribosomal RNA
Source: RNAcentral
UGCAACUCGACUACAUGAAGCUGGAAUCGCUAGUAAUCGCGGAUCAGAAUGCCGCGGUGAAUACGUUCCCGGGUCUUGUACACACCGCCCGUCACACCAUGGGAGUUGGGAAUGCCCGAAGCCGGUGACCUAACCGAGAGGGAGGAGCCGUCGAAGGCAGGUCUGAUGACUGGGGGUGAAGUCGUAACAAGGUAUC